GCUCCGGCUCCGGCACGGCUUCAACCACCGUCCAAGAAGCGGUGCAUGGCUCCCGAGUCAACUCAGUCGAGCGCACUAGCCAUGAUGGGCAUGGGGCCUUACUAUCCGCCAUUCCAGAAUGAGUGCUACUCUAAGAGUGAGACUACGGCUGAUCACGACCAUGAGUAUGAGCUGAAAGAGCAAAUCUCGAGCUUGGAGAAGAUCCUGGGCCUGGAUGAGCCGGUGACGCCGAAUGAGGUGACGAGUGGACUCGGAAUGGGGGAACCGGAGUCGUCGGACCUGUGGAUGCUGGAUGACCUGGUCACACAUCACCAGCAGCAAGGCUAUGAUCAUCAGCUCGUAUAUUAGGGAAAGCGACCGCCGUUGAUGUUAUGGUGUAU
RNAcentral lists this long non-coding RNA (380 nucleotides) under Fragaria vesca (wild strawberry). RNAcentral's name for it is "long non-coding RNA (FVES_LNC001885)". The record is from RNAcentral. Lineage: Eukaryota; Viridiplantae; Streptophyta; Magnoliopsida; Rosales; Rosaceae.